CAGGACGAACGCUGGCGGCGUGCCUAACACAUGCAAGUCGAACGGACGAGGGGAGCUUGCUCCCCAAGUUAGUGGCGGACGGGUGAGUAACACGUGAGCAACCUGCCCUUCGAGGGGGACAACAGCCGGAAACGGCUGCUAAUACCGCAUGACAUAUCCUUGAGGCAUCUCGGGGAUAUCAAAGAUUUAUCGCCGAAGGAUGGGCUCGCGUCUGAUUAGCUGGUUGGUGAGGUAACGGCUCACCAAGGCGACGAUCAGUAGCCGGACUGAGAGGUUGAACGGCCACAUUGGGACUGAGAUACGGCCCAGACUCCUACGGGAGGCAGCAGUGGGGAAUAUUGGGCAAAUGGGGGCAACCCUGACCCAGCAACGCCGCGUGAAGGAAGAAGGCUUUCGGGUUGUAAACUUCUUUGACGAGGGACGAUAAUGACGGUACCUCGAAAACAAGCCACGGCUAACUACGUGCCAGCCGCCGC
RNAcentral lists this ribosomal RNA (476 nucleotides) under uncultured bacterium. RNAcentral describes it as "bacterial SSU rRNA". It matches the Rfam family "Bacterial small subunit ribosomal RNA", at positions 25 to 518 of the family's 1533-position model. The record is from RNAcentral.